Octopus bimaculoides (California two-spot octopus) is the source of this 6456-nucleotide unclassified non-coding RNA. The record is from RefSeq and is a predicted model, not a curated record. Lineage: Eukaryota; Metazoa; Mollusca; Cephalopoda; Octopoda; Octopodidae.
CAGUUUUCAGAAUGUGACAAAUUCAUCUAUAUAUAAAUGGUUACCUUGUGGACAGAUGCAUUGCAACAACGUUAAUCAAACUAUCUGCCAAUUCAAUGUCAUAUCUCCUGUACAAAAUCCACGUAACUUAGGAAGUAUAAAGUCUGCUGACUUUACAGUUGAUGAAGGAAAUGUAAUUUUGACAUACAGCGAUCCAUCAGGAAAAACUCAAAGUGCAGUAACAUUGGUCUGCUCUAAAGAAGAGGAAGCAACCUUUUUUUUUACUGGACAAUAUGCCUUGUUAGAUUAUCGAAAUUAUAAAUUUCAACUGCAGAGUAAACACUUUUGUCACUGGACAAGAAAAAACACUUUUGUCCUGUCAACAGGAACAAUAAUUUGCAUAGUUCACCCGUCUACCAAAUCCGCUCACAAACAUUUGGUCGGCCCGAGACCAUAGGAGAAGACAAGUGGGCAAAGCACCACCCAGUGGAACUGAACCUGCAGCCAUGUGGUAGUAGUAACGGUUACUGCCCUCCUUUGACAUUGAUGCUGCUGCUGCUGAUGAUGAUGAUGACGGUGAUGAAGAAGAAGAAGUUGAUGGUGACGAUGGUGAUGAUGAUGAGGCGGUUGAUGAUGACGAUAAUGAUGGUGAUGAUGAUCAUGGUAACGACAAUGACGGCAACGCCGACGAUGAUGAUAAUGGUGAUGGUGACGAUGAUGGUGACGAUGAUGAUGAGGAGGAGGAUGUUGUUGAUAUGAUAAUCAUGAGAUGAUGGUGAAGACGAUGAUGAUGAUGAUGAUGGUGAUGAUGAAGACAAUGAAGAAGUUGAUGAUGAUGUUGGUGAUGAUGGUGAUGAUGUUGAUGAUGAAUAUGAUGAUGAUGAUGAUGAUGAUGAUGAUGAUGAUGAUGAUGAUGAUGAUGGUGGUAACGAUGAUGGUGUUAAUGAAGAUGAUGAUGAUGAUUACGAUGAUGAUGGUGACGACGACGACGACGACAAAAAAAGAAGACGAAAAAGAAAAGGAAGAAGAAGAAGAAGAAGAAGAAGAAGAAGAAGAAGAAGAAGAAGAAGAAGAAGAAGAAGUUGAUGAUGAUGAUGAUGAAGUUGGUGAUGAUGUUAAAAGUGUUAGGAAUGCUGGGGGUCCGCGAUAUUGAUGUUUGGUAGUGGCGGUGAUGCCGGUGUUUGGUGGUGGUAACGGGUUUUGAUGUUAUUGUUAGCGGUGGCGGUGAUGGUGUUGAUGGUGGUAGUGGUGGUGGUGGUUCUGUUGGUGGUGAUGGUGGUGGUGGUGGUGGUGGUAGUGGUGAUGCCAUUAGUAUUGGUUAUAGUGAUAUUAGUAGAAGCCUUGAUGUUGGUAGUAGUACAGCUGUAGUUUUAGUGAAAGAAUUAAGGGCAAUUCUACUGGCAUCGAUGUGAAUAAUGCGCGGUUUUUGGUAGCAGUGCUUUUAGGAUCAGAAGAUCUAUAUACAGAGCGGGGCUGGAAACAUCCUGCUUCAUUUAAGUUAGGAAUGUUCUUGACUUUAUUUCAGGUAUUGAUUCAAAAUAUUCCAUCAUUGUUGUAUGAUCAACCCUAAAUUUGGUUACGUAGCACACUCUUUUAUAUCUAUAUAUGGAGUAAAAUUAAUGACCCGGUUGCAUCUUGCUUUAAUUUUGGUGACUUCUCAGUCAAUAUUAGUCGGUAUAUUUACUUUAGCUGCAUGAAAGAAAAACUGGCUCUCCGUUGGUUAUGUUGGGGUUUCCUGUUGAUCCGAUAAACGGAACAGCCUGCUCGUGAAAUUAACGUGCAAGUGGCUGAGCAUUCUACUGGCACGUGUAUCCUUAACUUGGUUCUUAGGGAGAUUCAGCGUGACACAGAAUGUAACAAGGCUGGCUUUUGAUUUAAAGGUACAAUUCACUUUUGCCAGCUGGAUGGAGUGGAACAACGUGAAACAAAGUGUCUUGCUCAAGGACACACCGCGUCGCCAGGAAUCGAACUCACGUCCGUGAGCCGAAUACUCUUAACCACUAAACCACGCCUCAUCACACUUGUGUGAAAGAGAACUACGUGAUAAUCACUCGAGCUUUUUUGAAGGGUGAUUUUCGGAAAAGAGUUGGUUUUAACCAACUCCCACUGAGAGCGUUAUGAGCUUAAAACAGAAUGGCCGAUGCCAAUGAGCGGUGCUGGGUAUUUAGAGGGUGUUAUGAGUUUUCUAAGAUAUAAAGUAUUUAAACUAAGUACUUUAUUUUAAAUGCAAUUUUGAAAAUAUCUCCGUCAGGACUGGGAUUAAAUUAUGAAAUGAAAAAUCAUAUCAGCGAGCAAAGCCAUAACUACUGAUGCACCAAAGCCUAAUAUAAUUAUACUAUACAAGUCCUUGCCGUCUUUAUUAAUUUUCUUAAAAAAUAUGCAUAGGGGCACUAGUUCAUAGAAAGGCCCAUGAUUUUUGGAAUGGAAUAAGAAAAUAUUGAUGAUAAAUCUCUGCGCAAAAUUAGCUUCUGCUUUAUUAAAAUAAUCCACGAAACAUAGUGAUGGGGAGCUUUAUAAGAACACUAUUCAUGAAAAAGUGUACUGAGCUACAAUCGACUGAGAAUCGCUGGUGUAGACUUUAAAAUGGCAACGUAUCUAUUUGGUCUCAAAAGUGAGUUGCUACACAAAUAAUCUGUGCAUUUUAUGACUUUUGAGUCGGCAGAAACGAAAAUGACCAAAAGAUAAUUGAAGAGCGAUUUAAUAUAUAUACCUGCAUAUCAUACUUAAUGUAUAUCGUUGAAGGACUAAUUACUGCAGUACUCGUCCUAUAUAUCGGAGGCGACAAAUAUCGUCUAGGAAUGUGGUUGGCUGUGAAUACACGCCAUUGACAAACCUCAACUAUGCCGAAAUGCACUUGGCAUUCUCGCUUACCGCUACCGGGACAAUUUUCAUCUCAUUCCGAUAUGAUUAUAUUUUUAAACACGUUCACAAGAGACGUUAUCUUUGAGUGAAUAUCGCUGUAACUAGCCUUUCAACGCUGUAUAUAAGUAUGAUAUAUAGAUAGCUAUUUUAAUCUAAUACUGCUUCAAUUGUGUACCAAAGAACCUGACAUUGGUGCUUUACUAUUUAAGGACCUGAUCCGCUUGAAUCCUGAACUUUUAUAGGUGUGUGUGUUUGGGUGUGUGUAGAGAAAGAGGGGGAGAGAGACGUGUGUUUGAUGUAUGUACACACACAAGAUAGAGUUUACGCAAUCGUUAAUCCAAGUUUCAUGUAAACGCUUUGGUUGUAUCAUAAAAACCAAGGUUUACUACUCACAAAAUUCUGGUGAUUUAAGCGAAGAAUGAGUAAGUAUUUGAAUACAAUCAUACCAUGAUGUCAGAUGUUACUACUGGAACCAGUGUAAGUGGGACCGUUCUGAUAAUUCUUACCGUAGAAAUCCUAUAAUAGAUGCUUCUUAUGGGUUGAAUAACUGAUCGUUUUAUAAGCCUUAAUUAUAUAUUUUUAGUUACAAUUUCAGUAACAUCUGAUGUAUGGCUGCACAAUAAGAUUUUGUGUCGAAAGAAGCUGAUUUGGUGAUAUAUGGUGGUUGAAAGAAACAUAUGAUAUUUUAAUCCUUUCUACUAUAGGCACAAGGCCUGGAAUUUUGAGGGAAGGGGUCAAGUUGAUUACAUCGUCCUCAGUGCUUGACUGAUACUUAUUUCAUCGGCCCCGGAAAGAUGAAAAGCAAAGUCGACCUCGGAGACGCUUGAACUCAGAACCUAAAAACGGAGGAAAUGUUGUUAAGUAUUUUCUCGGGCGUAAUAACGAUUCUGCCAGCUCGCCUCUUUAGGGAUCCUGUAAUAAAUUAACAACAUUAUUUUUGUGUCAAAAUGGUAGACUAGUUAUUAAUUAGAACUGAGUCAAAUUUGAAAUCAGCGCUAAAAUAUUUCCCAGAGAAUCUAACUUCUAAGGGUAUGAAAUGUUUUGGCACAGCCGUUUUGGCUCUGCCUUUUUGGUGUCACUGAUUCGGCGCUGACAUGGUUGACAUCAGACAUCUUAAUUUUUCGUUUUAUUCUUCCUUCUCUUCCUGCCUCUCUCCCUCCUUCUAUCCCCUUCCUCCCCUCUCUUUGUUUAUAUAUAUGAGAUUGAGAGGGAAAGUGUCUAUAUCAAUCAUUUUCAAUUAAUAAUUGUAAUCACUCUCUGUCUGUCUGUCUGUCUGUCUGUCUGUCUGUCUCUCUUUCUCUGUAUGUGUACAUCUUUGCACAUGUGUGGAUGUGUUUGCCUCCAGUUCCAAAACGUACUGUCACCAAGACAGGCUGAACGUCCGGUCAGCCGUGCCAAAUCUUCAGCCGCAACUCAUCGUUUCAUUCAUGAGGCACCUAAAUGUAUGUUAUUUUGUUGCUAUUGUUCCUAUUGAUUUUGCCCAUGUUUAUCCGUAAGAAAUGAAGAUAGUUUUAGUGUGGACGUUAGAUUUGGUGGAGAAUAAUGCGGUGGUAAUAUUAGUGGUCAUAUUGUUAGUGUCUGUGAUAUUUGUGAUGGUGAUGAUUUUAGUUAUGAUGAUGAUGUUAAAGAUAUCACUGAUGUGAAUUAUGGUGCUGAUGUUUGACUUGGUUAUUGGGAUGAUGGUGAUAAUUGUUAAUUACGGAUCAGCUCUGAUCGAGCAGAUUUAUGACUGAAAGCAUUCUGGUCAUUUGCCUGCUGACAAUUGAGAGUGAGUUGUGGGAGUUUCGACUGUUAUCUCUAAUUAGUUGAAUGGCCGUGUAGAAGCUUCCUCGUUUGUUUGAUAGUUUGGAUGAUGCUAGUGGUAGUGAUUGAUGUCUGUGCUGAUGAUGUUGCUGUUCUUAAGACCCAGUUAUUCACUAACUGAAUAAACCUAUAAUCAAAAGCAUUGUAGUUAUUGCCAUCUCGUCCUUUACUCAAGCAUUUCCCGCUUUUCAACCUAGAGGGCAUAAUGUAUGAGAGAGUCAUUUCUAGUAAGGUCAAGCAACCACUUAAAGACUCCUUUAGUUGAUGGUACUGUUGUGGUUGGGAAGUCCGAAGUCUGCCUGGAUGGAGUAGUCAUGUUAUAUACUGAAAGUCGGCCAAAUGGCGUAAAACUGUCCAGAGAUAAAGCUGCUGGGUUAUGUCAUUUUUCCGACAAGCUAAGGACCAUACUGUAUUCCAACAUGUAGUAAUGAAUUAAACACAAUGCAGCCUGUUAGUUGAACAUAAUACAACCGCCACAUCGUCUAAUCUAAUAGUAAGCGCCCAUAGGUUGUGGUGGUCGUUAUAGAGGAAGUACUAAGGUAGUCUCGGUGAGAGGGCGACUGUUUUGAGAGGGUUUUGGAGGCAUUGAAGAUACUGAUCUAGCUAUUUCUGCAUUUUAUGCAUAUCUCGGUUAAAUCGGACAGAUAGGGAUUUUACUAUGUUUCUAUAGUAGAAAUCUGGGACGUUGAAGUUUGCCACGUUUGGAAGUUACGCCUCCCGCAUGUCCAGGUUGUCUUUCAUUUUUAUAUUUUUGUUUCGUUGUGUAAAAGGUUUAGGAUAUGGUAUGGUAUGGUCUGGUGCAUAGUUGUGCGCCCUCUUGUGUAUUUAAAAUUUUAUUGCUGUUCCUGGCGGAGAGAUUGCAGCUGAAGAUAAAACUAGCAUAGCCCAUUGGUAGUUUUAUCUUAUGUAUUGUUUAUGCACCAUUGUUGUUACAGUCUUGUGGCCAGCCAAAAGCGGCAUCUGUGAAUGCUCCAAGUAUAUUUCGCUUUCUUCUUACUGAAUCUCCUAAGACUGUUGUGAAUAUGUGUGGAAGGUUGUCUGUUGCUGAAACCAUCUUAUAUUUUCUCUGUCACUGUUUGUGUGGUGGCUGAGUGUGGUGAUCUGAAUCUGUACUAUUGUUUGGAUAGUUAGGUUUAUAAUAAUAACUUAGAUAACUUGAAUAUAUUUCGGCCAAAGAUUGGCUCAAGCCAUAUCUAACUUGAUAGCAUUACCUGGUAGGAUCUGUUAAGUCAUUUUGAAGUCAGGUUUUGUGGUAUCAUGGCCGAUUCGAAUAGAGAAUUGUUGUUGACUUAGAUGUAUCCAGGUAUAGGUGGCGUAUCUGAAGGAUUUAUCUUUGUCGAAUUUCUGUGCACAGGAGGGUGACCUUACUUCACUUGAGUAUUUGUGGGGCUUUGAGUUGUCAUAAGCUCACUCAACUCCAGAUGCUGGUACGAGUAGUUGUAAAUUUUGGUGGGUGACAUGAUUCCUUCAGUGUUUAUAAGUAUUUCGCAUAUUUUUCUCUGAUUUUGCCUGGGCUUGACGCUUUAAGCUAUUCAAUGUUUCUUUAUUGCUUUGCGGAUCCCUAAUGAAAUGAAGGGGUUAAACUCGCAGCCAAGAUAGAGGGGCAUACGUUUCGUUUUAUGUUUCCGCUUGCUUUGUGGCUGAUUAUUAAGAAAUAUCUGAUAAGGGCGUUUGCUUGCAGUUGCAGUGUGAACGUACUUUUUGACGUUACUAUUAUGACACGGGGUGUGGUGUUACUGUUGACGAUUACACUACUAAUAUAUUCUAUAUAGUGUUUUAAUCUUUUGUGGCUUAUGUUGGAUACAAAUGCUU